UACGGAGGGUGCAAGCGUUAAUCGGAAUUACUGGGCGUAAAGCGCGCGUAGGUGGUUAGGUAAGCGAGAUGUGAAAGCCCCGGGCUUAACCUGGGAACGGCAUUUCGAACUGUCUGACUAGAGUGUGGUAGAGGGUAGUGGAAUUUCCUGUGUAGCGGUGAAAUGCGUAGAUAUAGGAAGGAACACCAGUGGCGAAGGCGGCUACCUGGACCAACACUGACACUGAGGUGCGAAAGCGUGGGGAGCAAACAGG
This 253-nucleotide ribosomal RNA is filed under the name uncultured bacterium. Its description in RNAcentral is "partial 16S ribosomal RNA". It matches the Rfam family "Bacterial small subunit ribosomal RNA", at positions 524 to 776 of the family's 1533-position model. The record is from RNAcentral.